GACGAACGCUGGCGGCGUGCUUAACACAUGCAAGUCGAGCGGUAAGGCCCUUUCGGGGGUACACGAGCGGCGAACGGGUGAGUAACACGUGGGUGACCUGCCCUCAGCUCUGGGAUAAGCCUGGGAAACCGGGUCUAAUACUGGAUAUGACUCCAUGACGCAUGUUGUGGGGUGAAAGCCUUGUGCGGCUGAGGAUGGGCCCGCGGCCUAUCAGCUUGUUGGUGGGGUGANGGCCUACCAAGGCGACGACGGGUAGCCGGCCUGAGAGGGCGACCGGCCACACUGGGACUGAGACACGGCCCAGACUCCUACGGGAGGCAGCAGUGGGGAAUCUUGCGCAAUGGGC
Molecule: ribosomal RNA, 346 nt
Filed under: uncultured bacterium
Lineage: Bacteria
Description: bacterial SSU rRNA
Rfam family: Bacterial small subunit ribosomal RNA
Source: RNAcentral